UCCCUUCGGGGAUAGUGGCGCACGGGUGCGUAACGCGUGGGAACCUGCCCUUAGGUUCGGAAUAACAGUUAGAAAUGACUGCUAAUACCGGAUAAUGUCUUCGGACCAAAGAUUUAUCGCCUUAGGAUGGGCCCGCGUUGGAUUAGCUAGUUGGUGGGGUAAAGGCUCACCAAGGCGACGAUCCAUAGCUGGUCUGAGAGGAUGAUCAGCCACACUGGGACUGAGACACGGCCCAGACUCCUACGGGAGGCAGCAGUGGGGAAUUUUGGACAAUGGGCGCAAGCCUGAUCCAGCAAUGCCGCGUGCAGGAAGAAGGCCUUCGGGUUGUAAACUGCUUUUUGUACGGAACGAAAAGGUCUGGGUUAAUACCCUGGGCUCAUGACGGUACCGUAAGAAUAAGCACCGGCUAACUACGUGCCAGCAGCCGCGGUAAU
RNAcentral lists this ribosomal RNA (434 nucleotides) under uncultured bacterium. RNAcentral describes it as "bacterial SSU rRNA". It matches the Rfam family "Bacterial small subunit ribosomal RNA", at positions 72 to 524 of the family's 1533-position model. The record is from RNAcentral.